Molecule: non-coding RNA, 25 nt
Filed under: Mus musculus (house mouse)
Lineage: Eukaryota; Metazoa; Chordata; Mammalia; Rodentia; Muridae
Source: RNAcentral
UGGAACAUUUCAUCCUGCGGGGAAA